RNAcentral lists this ribosomal RNA (459 nucleotides) under uncultured bacterium. RNAcentral's name for it is "partial 16S ribosomal RNA". It matches the Rfam family "Bacterial small subunit ribosomal RNA", at positions 338 to 795 of the family's 1533-position model. The record is from RNAcentral.
CCUACGGGGGGCAGCAGUGAGGAAUAUUGGUCAAUGGGCGCGAGCCUGAACCAGCCAAGUCGCGUGAGGGAAGACGGUCCUAUGGAUUGUAAACCUCUUUUGUCGGGGAGCAAAAGACGCCACGCGUGGCGUUCCGAGAGUACCCGAAGCACAAGCAUCGGCUAACUCCGUGCCAGCAGCCGCGGUAAUACGGGGGAUGCGAGCGUUAUCCGGUUUUAUUGGGUUUAAAGGGUGCGCAGGCGGUCGUUUAAGUCAGCGGUCAAAGCCCGGGGCGAAACCCCGGCCCGCCGGUGAAACUGGCAGUCUCGAGUUGGAGAGAAGUAUGCGGAAGGCGCGGUGUAGCGGUGAAAUGCAUAGAUAUCGCGCAGAACUCCGAUUGCGAAGGCAGCAUGCCGGCUCCACACUGACGCUGAGGCACGAAAGCCAGGGGAGCGAAAGGGAUUAGAUACCCCUGUAGUC